Molecule: long non-coding RNA, 1887 nt
Organism: Sapajus apella (tufted capuchin)
Lineage: Eukaryota; Metazoa; Chordata; Mammalia; Primates; Cebidae
Exons: 2
Source: RefSeq, a predicted model, not a curated record
CACACCCAGGAAUAAUACUUUGCAUCCUUCGGUCCAAUCAAGUUGACACUCAGUAUUAACCAUCACAGUGAAUUUUCUUUCUUCCAUUUUUUGUUUGUUUUCUCCGAAAUCCUGAUAUGGCCAUUGGACUUCCUGGUCUGAUAUUUUAUUUUUCUCUCCUACUUUUGUUUUUCUGUCCUUGUCUGUUUUCUGUGUUUUGGGAAGAUUUCCUCACCUUUUAUUUUUUAACCCUUCUUUUGACUUUUAAUUAUCGUUAUGUUUUUAAAUUUUCUGAAUUUUUAAAAAAGCACUCUUGUAUAUAUAUAAUAUCUUCUUAUUUCUCUGAAGAUAAUAUUUUUUAUUUUUAUUUUUUCCCCUCCUUUGAGAUUUCUGUUUCCUCCAAGUCUGUUUAUUUUGUUCUUUAUAUUUCUAGUUAGAGGUUUUGUCAGAAAUCAGUAUUUAUUUUCCGUCCACAAUUAAGUUUAGGGAAACUAAAACCUGAUUUUAAGCUUUAACACUUAGGUGGCCCCUGUGUUUUUCAUUGUCUCAUAAUCUGGAUGGGCCAUUUGUUGGGAAACUUGGUGUCAGUAUCAUUAGGUUUUUCCUCUGAGUUUAGUCAAAUUUCCCAGAAGAAAAAUUUUUUCAUCUCAUACUUGGUGAGUCAAAAGGAGUUCAAAAAGAGAAGAAGCCUGCAUGAGAGAGAGCGUUAAUAGUUAACAUUUAGUUUAUAUGGAGUUAUUAAAUGCCCUUGUGAUCUGCCACUUGGUAUCCACUCUCUUAGAAGUCCUUGCUAUUCACCAGUCUAGAGAAUAGACCACCUUGUUUAACUAUCCAGAGGCUAAACCUCUAGACUUUGAGGUCCAAGAGAGGAUUUACUAACAAUAAAUUACUAGAGUUGGAGUAACAAUAAAUUACUAGAGUGGAGUUGGGGGGAUGAGUUAGCCAUCUAAUUGCUUUGCAUAGAGAUUUUACUCAGUUAUUUUUAUUUUAGCAUUUGUCUGAACCCCUAGAUCCAGAGGUACCUAGUCCUGUCAGUUCUUGAGCCUCUUCAGGAAUCUGUGCAUAUUGUAAACUAUUGCCUAAGAUUCAGCUUACUAGUUAGGAACUCUCAAAAAGUUUUGUUGUGUUUUGUCUACUUUCCUGGUGUCUCUGGGUUUGUCUUUAUAUGAAGUUAAUAUUUCAAUGGAAUUUCGGUAGAAAGUGAAAUUAAGAUGCAUGUGUUCAAUUCACCAGCUGAACCUGCAACAUCCACUGUCUUUGUAUUAUUUGUAUCAUCUUCAAAACCAUCUUUUUAAAUGACUGUAAUAGUCAAGUUUCCUUCUUCAGUUAGCUAAAACCAUAGGUUAAAAUGCAGGUUGUUCUAAUUAUUUUUUCACAUUGCUUUUCCUUCAUUCAAUUAUUUAUUUCCUAAGGUAGAUUCUUGGAACAGUAAGUACUAGGCUAAAUGGGUAAGAACAUCUUAGGGCUCUUGAAAAAUAUUGCCAGAUUUUGCUUUCUCAAAGCGUUGAACCAUUUUGCAGUGCCUCUCCAACUCUGCUUUAAGUAAAAUAUUUAAUCUUUCUUACACUUACCUGGUUUUAAGCACAGAACUAUUUUCAAUAGUUCUCCUGUGCUUAAGAUUAAGUAUAUGUUGUGGUUUUGCUUUGGUCUAUGACCUCUUUAGUCUGUUCUCAGGGAAUAAGAUUUAUUGACCCUUCUCAUGUCUUGAUCAUCUACAAUUGAUUUUGACAUAGGAAAGGAGAAAAGGCAUGGCUAACAUUUACUUUGAGUUUUAACGCCAUUUUCCUCGUGCUACUUUUAUCUAGUCUAGGAGUUUGAGGGUUUUUUUUUUUAAGCUUCUUCUGACCCUCUUGAAUUUAUGUUUAGUCAUGGGUAGGUUUGCGUUUCCUCUUAAGUAUGCUUUUUUUU